GCGGCUGGGACCCGAGACACCCCGGGACCCGGAGGCGCUGAGGAAGAAAGCUGCCUCGGCUGCCGCCCCCUUCUGCCGCGAGGGGAGCCGGAGCCCCAAUGUUGUGCCUCGGGAGGGGCGGGGGGCGGUCCCCCUCCCUUGGGACCUGCCCUUCGGCCGCCCGCCCCCCCUCCCCUGCGACCGUCGGGAUCCCUUCUGCACCUCCGGGCACUCGAGGACCCGAGUUUUGCGAAUCGCCAUCCUGUUUAGACGGGUGGAGGGAGAGUGGUGUAUAUAUACACCCAGCACGUGAGCUUGCAAGUCAGAUACCUGAAUACCUGUUAUGGGUGAGCGGUGGCUGAUUUUAAGAAAAGGGUCGCGACCCAGAGGUUGAGAACUGCUGGAUAGAUGAUUCAGUACUUCUUUAUAAGACCAUUAUGGGACUUGAAAAUAAACUUGGAAAACAUCCCAUAACAUAGUGUCCUUAAAUACCACUUCUACUUCUGCCUCAGAUCUGCAGAAUGAGGACGUUUAUUAAAGCUGGGACAGUGAAACAAGGAACGGCCUACGAUAGAAGCAACAGGAGAGACACUAUGCAAGGAAGUGAGCGUAGGCUGGGCUGCUGUGGCUCACUAAGGAGUCAGAGAAAAGGGGCCUUGGUGACAGGGGUAGGGGGUUAGCCUGGGGCCAGCUGCUGCUGCCCAUGCUUAUUUUCUGAAGUUUCACAUAAAUGUCAUACUGUUUUUGCUUAUUUUCUGAAGUGUCUUACAUAAAUGUCAUACUGUUUUUGCUUCAUGGAUGCAGUAUCUACUCAUCUGAGAAUGUCAGCAUUGGUUUUAAAAUGUUCAUCUCCUUGCAUAGUCUUUUUCUCCAACGUUGCUUUUCUCCUGUUCAUCGGUUUUGAUCUCUAAAGCUCACAUUUAGAGGCUCCUCUCAGAUGUCUGGUUAACCCUUGGCUGUCUGCUUAUGAUUAAGAGCAUAUUUGCAAGCCUUG
Myotis lucifugus (little brown bat) is the source of this 973-nucleotide long non-coding RNA. RefSeq lists it as uncharacterized. The record is from RefSeq and is a predicted model, not a curated record. Lineage: Eukaryota; Metazoa; Chordata; Mammalia; Chiroptera; Vespertilionidae. The transcript is spliced from 3 exons.